This 671-nucleotide long non-coding RNA is filed under the name Linum usitatissimum (flax). RNAcentral describes it as "long non-coding RNA (LUSI_LNC005214)". The record is from RNAcentral. Lineage: Eukaryota; Viridiplantae; Streptophyta; Magnoliopsida; Malpighiales; Linaceae.
UAGUGGGAGAGACAGAACAUCAUAUAAUUAAUUUUGUAUCGAUAUAAAAGAGAGUAAAAAUUAAAAGAUAAAAAGAUGAUGAAAUCUAUUUCGGUUUUUUCAAUCAUUUUCUUGUUACUUUCCAUGGUCACUCUUCACGGUAACGGAAAUUAUAUUCAUUUUAAUAUUUGAAAAAUAACGUAUGAAUUGUUGGAAAUAUUUGGAACUGAUGAAAUAAUGUUUUAUCCUUGAUUUCUGUGCAGGUGUUGCAAGAGGUGUUGAUCAUGAUCGUGAACAUGUGGUAUCGUCAACGAGGGGGAGUAAGGAAGUAAUCAUCCAAGAAACAUGUCGGACAGUGAUAUAUGAUAAAGGGUGUGAAGAAUUUAAAUGCGACCGAGAUUGUGUGGCCCAUUUUGGGGGAGAUAGCAAUAGCGAAUGUUCGAAUGGUCGUGUUUGUAUAUGUGAAUACAAUGGCAACUGUGACAACUAAAUUAAGUUUUUUUGAAGUGGGGAAUUCAAGCUUAAUAAUGGAAUAUUUUGAUAGAUUACUCUGAGGCAUAGAUUACUGAUGGAUUCUGGUUUCCCAUCAACAAGUUCAUGGUCGAUUAAGGCGCAAUUGAAACGGCCACUGAAAAAAAUUGAAAUAAUAGUAUUUUUGCCCUUUUUACUUUACCAAGUUAAUAACAAGGCCC